CAAAAAUAAAAAUUAUGUAUUUCAAUGUUGUACCCAGUCGCAACAUAGGAUGUUUGGGUAGUGACAAAGAGAGGGAAAUUGUAAAGAAGAAGAGAAAAGGGAAGAAGCAGCAGAGAAAGAGGAGAAAAGAAGGGAGAGAGAGAAGAGAGAUUUAAGGAGGAAGAUUGUUGUAUUUCCAAUUUGAUAUCUUAUUGGAACUCAUAUGAUUUAUACAAGCAUUGCUAACUCCCUAACAGAAUCUGUUACAAACAGUAAUCUAGCUAUUAUCUAUAUUGCCUUAAAUGCUUGUUAGUGUGUCCCUCUUAGCUUAUCCAUCCUUAGUCAUAACAUUUUAUCAAUGAAAGUUAACGUUAAGCAGUUGCUAAAAUUGGUGAUAAAAUCAAGUGCCAUUGGUGAAAUUAAGCCCUUGACCUAGGAUAGUGCUAAAAGACUAAUUUUUGAAAUUUUAUGGUCUCACAUGCACUGAAAUGUCAUAUAAAAUUAGGGAUAGUUUAACCCGUGAUUUUCAUGAAUCAAACCAAACCUUAAUCAGUCUAUAGACCCUAUGCAUUCCUCUUAACAAUGCAAACCCGUAAAUAAUUAAUUCAUCAAAUUAGUCCACCACAAAAAUAUUCACAAUCUGG
This 623-nucleotide unclassified non-coding RNA is filed under the name Hevea brasiliensis (rubber tree). The record is from RNAcentral. Lineage: Eukaryota; Viridiplantae; Streptophyta; Magnoliopsida; Malpighiales; Euphorbiaceae.